CUCAGGAUGAACGCUAGCGGCAGGCUUAACACAUGCAAGUCGAGGGGCAUCGGGAGUAGCAAUACUGCCGGCGACCGGCGCAAGGGUGCGUAACGCGUGAGCAACAUGCCCGUAUCAGGGGGAUAAUCCAUGGAAACGUGGUCUAAUACCCCAUAGUAAUUAUGUAAGGCAUCCUUAUAUAAUUUAAAGCUUUGGUGGAUACGGAUUGGCUCGCGUGACAUUAGCUAGAUGGUAAGGUAACGGCUUACCAUGGCUACGAUGUCUAGGGGUUCUGAGAGGAAGGUCCCCCCACACUGGAACUGAGACACGGUCCAGACUCCUACGGGAGGCAGCAGUGAGGAAUAUUGGACAAUGGAUGGAAAUCUGAUCCAGCCAUGCCGCGUGCAAGGAAGACGGCCCUAUGGGUUGUAAACUGCUUUUGUAUGGGAGCAAUAAGGGCUACGCGUAGUCCGAUGAGAGUACCAUACGAAUAAGCACCGGCUAACUCCGUGCCAGCCGCAGC
Molecule: ribosomal RNA, 502 nt
Filed under: uncultured bacterium
Lineage: Bacteria
Description: bacterial SSU rRNA
Rfam family: Bacterial small subunit ribosomal RNA
Source: RNAcentral